AUGCGUGUGGUUGCAGCUGGCACAGAUCGAAUAUUUCAGAUCAUCAUGCCCGCUACCCAAUUGCCUGCCGGCGAGGCCUGGGACCGCCGGCGUGAGCUGCAGGCGUUCGACGACACCAAGGCGGGCGUCAAGGGCCUCGUCGACGCCGGCGUCACGGCCCUCCCGCCCAUCUUCCGCCACUCGCCGGAGUCCCUCGAGGGCAUCACGUCCUCAAACCAUGUCACGGGGGCCAUCCCGACCGUCGACCUAUCGGCCGCGCGGCGCGAGGACACGGUCGCCCUGGUGCGGCGCGCGGCCGGGACGGUGGGCUUCUUCCAGGUGGUCAACCACGGCGUGCCGGCCGAGCUCAUGGCCGGCAUGCUCGAGGGGGUGCGCCGGUUCAACGAGGGGCCCGCCGAGGCGAAGCAGGCCAUCUACAGCAGGGAUCAAGCUCGCAAGGUGCGUUUCGCUUCCAACUUCGACCUCUUCUCGUCGGCGGCGGCCAACUGGCGCGACACCCUCUUCUUCCACCUCGCUCCGGACCCGGCACCUUCCCAAGAGCUGCCCGAGGCUGUCAGGGAUGUGGUCACCGAGUACGGAAAGGCGGUGACCAAGGUGGCGCUGUCCGUGCUGGAGCUGCUGUCGGAGUCCCUGGGCCUGAGCAGCGACCACCUGCGCGACAUGGGCUGCGCGGAGAACCUCAACGCGGUGUGCCAAUACUAUCCGCCGUGCCCGGAGCCGUACCUCACCUGGGGCACCAAGAGGCACACCGACCCGGGGUUCCUCACCGUCCUCCUGCAGGACGGCAUGGGCGGUCUCCAGGUGCUCGUCGAUCACAAGACCUGGGUGGACGUCCCUCCCGUGCCCGGCGCUUUCAUCAUCAACAUCGGCGACCUUCUUCAGCUUGUCAGCAAUGACCAGUUCAGGAGCGUGGAGCACCGGGUCCUGGCCAACAAGAGCAAAGACACCGCGAGGGUCUCCGUGGCAUCCUUCUUCAACACCGACAUGGAGAGAUCCACGAGGCUGUAUGGCCCCAUCACCGAUGGACGCAAUCCCCCGAUCUACAGGAGCGUCACGGCUCGAGACUUCAUCGCCACAUUUAACCGCAUCGGCCUCGAUGGUCGCUCGCUCGACCACUACCGGUUGGACCAGCAUACUCCUACACCUGCUGUGGAGGGGUGUGAAUGA
RNAcentral lists this ribosomal RNA (1167 nucleotides) under Triticum aestivum (bread wheat). RNAcentral describes it as "partial small subunit ribosomal RNA". The record is from RNAcentral. Lineage: Eukaryota; Viridiplantae; Streptophyta; Magnoliopsida; Poales; Poaceae.